This 694-nucleotide ribosomal RNA is filed under the name uncultured bacterium. RNAcentral's name for it is "bacterial SSU rRNA". It matches the Rfam family "Bacterial small subunit ribosomal RNA", at positions 32 to 715 of the family's 1533-position model. The record is from RNAcentral.
AACGCUAGCUACAGGCUUAACACAUGCAAGUCGAGGGGCAGCAUGGUCUUAGCUUGCUAAGGCCGAUGGCGACCGGCGCACGGGUGAGUAACACGUAUCCAACCUGCCGUCCACUCUUGGACAGCCUUCUGAAAGGAAGAUUAAUACAAGAUGGCAUCAUGAGUCCGCAUGUUCACAUGAUUAAAGGUAUUCCGGUAGACGAUGGGGAUGCGUUCCAUUAGAUAGUAGGCGGGGUAACGGCCCACCUAGUCUUCGAUGGAUAGGGGUUCUGAGAGGAAGGUCCCCCACAUUGGAACUGAGACACGGUCCAAACUCCUACGGGAGGCAGCAGUGAGGAAUAUUGGUCAAUGGGCGAGAGCCUGAACCAGCCAAGUAGCGUGAAGGAUGACUGCCCUAUGGGUUGUAAACUUCUUUUAUAAAGAAAUAAAGUCGGGUAUGGAUACCCGUUUGCAUGUACUUUAUGAAUAAGGAUCGGCUAACUCCGUGCCAGCAGCCGCGGUAAUACGGAGGAUCCGAGCGUUAUCCGGAUUUAUUGGGUUUAAAGGGAGCGUAGAUGGAUGUUUAAGUCAGUUGUGAAAGUUUGCGGCUCAACCGUAAAAUUGCAGUUGAUACUGGAUAUCUUGAGUGCAGUUGAGGCAGGCGGAAUUCGUGGUGUAGCGGUGAAAUGCUUAGAUAUCACGAAGAACUCCGAUUG